UUUCAGAACACUUUCGUAUAAUGAUUACUUUACGGCUGCAACAUACUAAUAAGAGUUUCUUCUGUUGUUUUCUUUGUGGAAGAAUUCCAAGAGCGUCAAGCAUUGAUUCUUCCAGCUCUUUAGUCUGCAAUAGUGUAGCCAGCAUGCUUAAAGAACCCGAAACUUGAAAGUCGUCACCAGUAGUAAUAUAAGAAAGUAAGGCCUCCCUUAACGCAGGAUAUGUGCUCCUAUGAUCUGAUUGAGAACUAUCGUCCUCUGGGUGAUUAUUUAAAGAGUUGGAUAUGAUUGGAAUAAAAACCCGUAAACUUUGACUAUCAGAAUCUGAUCUGAGGCCACUAUUUUCUGAAUCUUGAUUUUCAUGUGACAUAUCAUGGUUAACCAUGAAACCAUUCAGUUUAGCUUCAGACCUUGGGACAAAUGUUUCUAUAUCACAAAGAAG
This 439-nucleotide unclassified non-coding RNA is filed under the name Hevea brasiliensis (rubber tree). Lineage: Eukaryota; Viridiplantae; Streptophyta; Magnoliopsida; Malpighiales; Euphorbiaceae. The record is from RNAcentral.